Picea glauca (white spruce) is the source of this 119-nucleotide non-coding RNA. Lineage: Eukaryota; Viridiplantae; Streptophyta; Pinopsida; Pinales; Pinaceae. The record is from Rfam.
GGGUGUGAUCAUACCAGCGUUAAUGCACUGCAUCCCAUCAGAACUCCGUAGUUAAGCACGCUUGGGCUAGAGUAGUUCUGGGAUGGGUGACCUUCCAAGAAGUCCUAGUGUUGCACACU